AUGGAAACACUUUCUCUGUUAAAUCCAGUGAAAUUCAAGGAGAGCCUGCCAACAGUGACCACAUCCACCCUAGUUCGUAGCUGUAGAGAUAUUGAAAAGGCAAUGAAAUCAUUAAACCAACAUACAAAAUAUCUGGCAAAAAGCAUGAAAAGAAAGCAAUGUGCGAUAAGACAUACUCUGGAUAGAAGAUGCAGCAGUAAACAGUUAGCUGCCAGGUCAUCUUUCCCUAAUACCAGAGUGAGAUGUGAGACCAAAGAUUGCCGGAUGCCUUUUAGGAGACUUGGUGAAGGCUGCAUAAUCAAAACAAAAAUAUGUCAAUAA
Molecule: ribosomal RNA, 321 nt
Filed under: Triticum aestivum (bread wheat)
Lineage: Eukaryota; Viridiplantae; Streptophyta; Magnoliopsida; Poales; Poaceae
Description: partial small subunit ribosomal RNA
Source: RNAcentral